Molecule: ribosomal RNA, 253 nt
Filed under: uncultured bacterium
Lineage: Bacteria
Description: partial 16S ribosomal RNA
Rfam family: Bacterial small subunit ribosomal RNA
Source: RNAcentral
UACGUAGGGUGCAAGCGUUGUCCGGAAUUAUUGGGCGUAAAGAGCUCGUAGGCGGUUCGUCGCGUCGGCUGUGAAAACCUGAGGCUCAACCUCAGGCCUGCAGUCGAUACGGGCGGACUAGAGUUCGGCAGGGGAGACUGGAAUUCCUGGUGUAGCGGUGAAAUGCGCAGAUAUCAGGAGGAACACCGGUGGCGAAGGCGGUGGGCUGGGCCGGCACUGACGCUGAGGAGCGAAAGCGUGGGGAGCGAACAGG